GUGGGGAAUCUUGCGCAAUGGGCGAAAGCCUGACGCAGCCAUGCCGCGUGAAUGAUGAAGGCCUUAGGAUUGUAAAAUUCUUUCACCGGGGACGAUAAUGACGGUACCCGGAGAAGAAGCCCCGGCUAACUUCGUGCCAGCAGCCGCGGUAAUACGAAGGGGGCUAGCGUUGCUCGGAAUUACUGGGCGUAAAGGGCGCGUAGGCGGACAGUUUAGUCAGAGGUGAAAGCCCAGGGAUCAACAUUGGAAUUGCCUUUGAUACUGUCUGGCUUGAGUACGGGAGAGGUGAGUGGAACUCCGAGUGUAGAGGUGAAAUUCGUAGAUAUUCGGAAGAACACCAGUGGCGUAGGCGACUCACUGGCCUGUUACUGACGCUGAGGCGCGAAAGCGUGGGGAGCAAACAGGAUUAGAAACCCGGGUAGUCC
RNAcentral lists this ribosomal RNA (425 nucleotides) under uncultured bacterium. Its description in RNAcentral is "partial 16S ribosomal RNA". It matches the Rfam family "Bacterial small subunit ribosomal RNA", at positions 354 to 796 of the family's 1533-position model. The record is from RNAcentral.